This 1124-nucleotide ribosomal RNA is filed under the name Mycolicibacterium austroafricanum. RNAcentral describes it as "bacterial LSU rRNA". It matches the Rfam family "Bacterial large subunit ribosomal RNA", at positions 1 to 1045 of the family's 2925-position model. Lineage: Bacteria; Bacillati; Actinomycetota; Actinomycetes; Mycobacteriales; Mycobacteriaceae. The record is from RNAcentral.
GUGUUGUAAGUGUUUAAGGGCGCAUGGUGGAUGCCUUGGCACUGGGAGCCGAUGAAGGACGUGGGAGGCUGCGAUAUGCCUCGGGGAGCUGUCAACCGAGCGUGGAUCCGAGGAUGUCCGAAUGGGGAAACCCGGCACGAGUGAUGUCGUGUCACCCAACGCUGAAUAUAUAGGCGUUGGGGGGGAACGCGGGGAAGUGAAACAUCUCAGUACCCGUAGGAAGAGAAAACAAAAGUGAUUCCGUGAGUAGUGGCGAGCGAAAGCGGAGGAUGGCUAAACCGUGUGCAUGUGAUACCCGGCGGGGGUUGUGUGUGCGGUGUUGUGGGGCGUUUCUUCUCUCAUCCGCCGAUGAGGGCAGGAGUGAUCAACCGUUGGGUUAGUUGAAGUGGCCUGGGAUGGUCUGUCGUAGAGGGUGAGAGCCCCGUAGACGAAAACUCAACGGCUUCUGUGAAAUGUUUCCCCGAGUAGCAGCGGGCCCGUGGAAUCUGCUGUGAAUCUGCCGGGACCACCCGGUAAGCCUGAAUACUUCCCAGUGACCGAUAGCGGAUUAGUACCGUGAGGGAAUGGUGAAAAGUACCCCGGGAGGGGAGUGAAAUAGUACCUGAAACCGUGCGCUUACAAUCCGUCAGAGCCCUCCUUCGUGGUGGGGUGAUGGCGUGCCUUUUGAAGAAUGAGCCUGCGAGUCAGGGACAUGUCGCGAGGUUAACCCGGGUGGGGUAGCCGUAGCGAAAGCGAGUCUGAAUAGGGCGUAUCCAAUCCGUAGGGGUUGGUGUAGUGGUGUGUUCUGGACCCGAAGCGGAGUGAUCUACCCAUGGCCAGGGUGAAGCGCGGGUAAGACCGCGUGGAGGCCCGAACCCACUUAGGUUGAAGACUGAGGGGAUGAGUUGUGGGUAGGGGUGAAAGGCCAAUCAAACUCCGUGAUAGCUGGUUCUCCCCGAAAUGCAUUUAGGUGCAGCGUCGCAGUGUUCGUGUCGGAGGUAGAGCUACUGGAUGGCCGAUGGGCCUCACAAGGUUACUGACGUCAGCCAAACUCCGAAUGCCGACACGGUGUAAUGCGGCAGUGAGACGGCGGGGGAUAAGCUCCGUGCGUCGAGAGGGAAACAGCCCAGAUCGCCGGCUAAGGC